AAUUAAAUAAGAAACUAUACUCAUAUAUGUUCUGGAUAAGGCAGGACGUCUCUACAAGGAACCAUUUGAAUUCCUGUCUAUGGGUGAUAGAAGCUGUAUC
This 100-nucleotide non-coding RNA is filed under the name Youngiibacter fragilis 232.1. Its description in RNAcentral is "Clostridium sp. 232.1 Purine riboswitch aptamer". It matches the Rfam family "Purine riboswitch aptamer". From Rfam's summary of the family: Riboswitches are metabolite binding domains within certain messenger RNAs that serve as precision sensors for their corresponding targets. Allosteric rearrangement of mRNA structure is mediated by ligand binding, and this results in modulation of gene expression. A class of riboswitches that selectively recognises guanine and becomes saturated at concentrations as low as 5 nM. RNAcentral also lists the same sequence under 1 other name. The record is from Rfam by way of RNAcentral. Lineage: Bacteria; Bacillati; Bacillota; Clostridia; Eubacteriales; Clostridiaceae.